CCUACGGGAGGCAGCAGUGGGGGAUAUUGCACAAUGGGGGAAACCCUGAUGCAGCGACGCCGCGUGUGGGAAGACGGUCUUCUGGAUUGUAAACCACUGUCCCCAGGGACGAAAAUGACGGUACCUGGGGAGGAAGCUCCGGCUAACUACGUGCCAGCAGCCGCGGUAAUACGUAGGGAGCAAGCGUUGUCCGGAAUUACUGGGUGUAAAGGGAGCGUAGGCGGGCGAGAAAGUUGAAUGUUAAAUCUACCGGCUUAACUGGUAGCUGCGUUCAAAACUUCUUGUCUUGAGUGAAGUAGAGGCAGGCGGAAUUCCUAGUGUAGCGGUGAAAUGCGUAGAUAUUAGGAGGAACACCAGUGGCGAAGGCGGCCUGCUGGGCUUUAACUGACGCUGAGGCUCGAAAGCGUGGGGAGCAAACAGGAUUAGAUACCCGAGUAGUC
This 440-nucleotide ribosomal RNA is filed under the name uncultured bacterium. RNAcentral describes it as "partial 16S ribosomal RNA". It matches the Rfam family "Bacterial small subunit ribosomal RNA", at positions 338 to 795 of the family's 1533-position model. The record is from RNAcentral.